CUUUCCAGUCCUUAACUGACGCUAAAGCUCGAAAGUGCGGGUAUCGAACAGGAUUAGAUACCCUGGUAGUCCGCACGGUAAACGAUGGAUGCCCGCUGUUGGCGAUACAAUGUCAGCGGCCAAGCGAAAGCGUUAAGCAUCCCACCUGGGGAGUACGCCGGCAACGGUGAAACUCAAAGGAAUUGACGGGGGCCCGCACAAGCGGAGGAACAUGUGGUUUAAUUCGAUGAUACGCGAGGAACCUUACCCGGGCUUGAACUGCAGCUGAACGAUCCAGAGAUGGUGAGGCCCUUCGGGGCAGCUGUGGAGGUGCUGCAUGGUUGUCGUCAGCUCGUGCCGUGAGGUGUCGGCUUAAGUGCCAUAACGAGCGCAACCCUUUUCAUUAGUUGCCAUCAGGUAGAGCUGGGCACUCUGGUGAUACUGCCACCGUAAGGUGUGAGGAAGGUGGGGAUGACGUCAAAUCAGCACGGCCCUUACGUCCGGGGCUACACACGUGUUACAAUGGGUGGUACAGAGAGUUGGUCGUUUGCAAAUGCGAUCUAAUCCUUAAAGCCAUCCUCAGUUCGGAUUGGGGUCUGCAACCCGACCCCAUGAAGCUGG
Molecule: ribosomal RNA, 600 nt
Filed under: uncultured bacterium
Lineage: Bacteria
Description: bacterial SSU rRNA
Rfam family: Bacterial small subunit ribosomal RNA
Source: RNAcentral